Sarcophilus harrisii (Tasmanian devil) is the source of this 587-nucleotide long non-coding RNA. RefSeq lists it as uncharacterized. The record is from RefSeq and is a predicted model, not a curated record. The transcript is spliced from 3 exons. NCBI's taxonomy places the organism in Eukaryota, Metazoa, Chordata, Mammalia, Dasyuromorphia, Dasyuridae.
CAGAGCAAUAAAUGCUGCUAUAUUUUGACGAAGGACCUCCCCCUAGAUUCUCAGCGCUGGGCAUCCUUGCAGCGGACCUUCCCGAAUCAGGUUCAUGGCCAUCUUUUGAUAUCGAAGCUGAUGGGGACCAACUAUGAACAAACCGAUUCUACAUGCCAGAAAAAACAGAAACAAGAUCUCUGACCCCAAAACCCAAUUAAACAAGAAAUGAGCAUGACUUCAGGGUGGCCUUCCUCAGUGGAACUCCAUUCAUCAGCACUUUAAACUUGCCAAGAUCCGUGACACUUCUCCAGUGAGAAACAUAUAUAACUGACAUUCUGUCAAGGCAAUGAAGAAGGGACAUUGAAACUGACAUCCUGCUGCCACCAUUUACACAUCUCAAUAUCUAAAAGGUGGACUCCCUUAAUGGUAAUGAAACUCAUUUUACCACCUUGCCCUCGAGAGAACAAGUCAUUCUGCAUAUACCUUCACCAUUAACAGCGAGGAUAUUCAGAAACUAUUUAUAAGGAAAAAGAUAAGGAACAGAGAAAGGUGUGUUUUAAUAUACAGUACCAAACGUGAAAAUAAAACUCCCAGAUAUAACAGGA